UCAACUUUAUUAGAAGAGACGCAUUUAUUAGAUAAAAAGCCAGUUCAUGCUUUUACAGUAUGAAAAUUGGUGAUUUAUAAUAACUUAGCAAAUCGCAAAGUGAAAACAGGCGAUAAAUCAUUCAAGUUUCUGACCUAUCAGCUUUCGACGGUAUGGUAUUGGCUUACCGUGGCAGUGACGGUUAACGGGGGAUUAGGGUUCGAUUCCGGAGAGGGAGCCUGAGAAACGGCUACCACAUCUAAGGAAGGCAGCAGGCGCGCAAAUUACCCAAUUCUAACAGUUUGAGAGAGGUAGUAACAAGAAAUAACAAUACAAGGCAGUUAAAAUGCUUUGUAAUUGGAAUGAUAGAAAUUUAAACCCUUUUUAAAGUAUCAAUUGGAGGGCAAGUCUGGUGCCAGCAGCCGCGGUAAUUCCAGCUCCAAUAGCGUAUAUUAAAAUUGUUGCAGUUAAAAAGCUCGUAGUUGAAGUUCUGCUGAAAGUAACCGGUCUGCUUUUAAUAAAAGUGGUAUCUUGGUAUGUAUUUAGCAAUGAUGUCCUUUGAAGUGUUUUUUACUUUAUUGUAAUAAAGCAUAUUCAGGACUUUUACUUUGAGAAAAUUAGAGUGUUUCUAGCAG
Molecule: ribosomal RNA, 614 nt
Filed under: Hepatozoon canis
Lineage: Eukaryota; Apicomplexa; Hepatozoidae
Description: bacterial SSU rRNA
Rfam family: Eukaryotic small subunit ribosomal RNA
Source: RNAcentral